CACCAAGAAAACGGAAAUUUCUUAGAAAAUCCCGUAUAUAACCUCGUUCCGUCACGUCUCCGUUCUCUCUCCUCUCUCUCUCGCUCUCUCCACCUGACAACUUGAUGAUCAGAAGUUUUUGACUCCCACCGAUUCGGCUCCUCCGCUCUGCCAUGGCGGUCCAGUUCAAAUUCAGAAGCUCCGUCAACUUUGAAUCCGUCGCCAUCGACGGCCGCGCCUCCAUCUCCGUUCGCGAUCUCAAAUCCAAGAUAAUUCGCCACAAGAACCUCAACCUCUGCCAAGACUCCGAACUCGUCUUCUCUGACGCCGUAACCGGUCAAGAGUACAACGACGAGAGCAUUCAAAUUCCUUGCGGUUCUAGCGUGGUAAUUAAGAGAGUUCCUGCAGGAUCAGUACAUGUGAACCAGCCUCACUUCAAUUCAUGUCAGAAUCUUCAUAGCAAGGACUCUGUGGAUGCUAAAUCACCCGCUGCACCGAAUGCUGAGACCGUUGACUUUGAUGACUUUGGGGUUGACUUGUAUCCCAUUCCUAAAGAAACCCUUUUCAGUUCUGAUUUGGAUACGGACAAGGAUAACUUCAUCUAUGAUUAUCAACCAAAUACCGAUAACGGCAUCAAAAGAUAUUCGGAGCCUGCUAUGAGACGAUGCUUGAAACUUGAAGCAAGUGGCAUUAGUGAUGCUAUUCCAGGAGUUCAUGCGCAUAGUGGAGUUGAACAAAUCAUAUUGCCGACAAAAUCAAAGCCUGAAGAAGAAGACAUGAAUGUGGAAAGGGUGGGCAGUGCGAAUGCCCUAGAUACACAGCAUGCUAAUUUGUCAUCAGAGCUGAAAUGCUCUCUAUGCAACGCAUUUUUCAAGGAGGCCGUAAUGAUACCAUGCUGCCAGCACAGUUUUUGUGAGAAAUGUAUUUCUCAAGUGUUGCGAGAGAAGACCAGAUGUCCCAUGUGUCUUUUGACCAAAUGCAGAGUAGAAGAUUUGCUGCCAAAUGUUUCUCUGAGGCAAGCAAUUGAGCAUUUCCUAGAAUCCCAAAAUUUAAUCACUGCUCCAGAUAAUGAUUGUUGCCAGUAUGCUCCAGAUGGAGAAUCUGGAAUUCAGGCCAAAGAUGUGUCUCGGGGCGGUAAUAUUUUACAAAGAGAGGCAGAGGCGCCUCAUUCUCCUGUAACAGGGACAGGUUCUAAUCAUUUAUUUGCAGAAUCUGCUUUUAACCCUCCUUUCCAAAAAGAUGGUAAACCUGCAAUCACAAAAAAGAGGCCACCUUGGGUUUCUUCAGAAGGUGGUGACAAGAGCUUCUCAGAGACUGGAAAGCACAGAAAGGGGGAACGUACCUGUUACAGGUGUGGUUCGCCAGACCAUUUCAUCAGAGACUGUCCAGUUGCUUCAAGCCCACAUCCUAUGCUUCAUGCAGGAAAUGCAAUCUUUCCAGGAGCUAUGCCAGGUUAUGUACCACCAUACUGGAAUGGGGCUUCCUCACCUCAUGCCAUGCCUUUUGGAAAUCCAUAUGGAAAUCAUGCGAUGACGGCUUUUGGCACAAAUAUGGUCCCUCCUGCUCCUUAUGCUGUUCCUGCAUACAUGCCAUCUAUGUAUAACUCAUUCCCUUCCUUUGGUGGAUAUAUGAGGAUGGGAGGUGUUGCUCCUCUUCCAGUGACUGGUGAAGACUGCCAUUUAAGUCGUUUGGAAUCCAUGGAUCUUCAUGGUUGGGUAAAGAGAAGAAAAGUUUCAAAUGAGAAUUUGAGGAGAGAACAAUCUCAUGAUGGUGAAGAUGACGAAGACCGUGAUUUAAACGAGAGACAUUACUAUAAUGGGACGGAAAAAUUACAUGACCACAGAUAUCAUAUAAACAGGGAAAUGAGCAUAAGUUACUCUGAGGAUGGCUCUACUAAAGGGUCCCAGAGGCAAUAUCGGCAUCAUAAUCACACAGAUGAAGACAGGCUUGCAGUUGAUGGUCAGCAGAAGAGUUCCCGUUUGGUGGUUGAUGGUCGAGAUCAGAAGCAGUAUCAUCGCACGGAAGGAUCAAGUUCAGAAUUAGACGAUGUGCCAAGUAGCUCCAGUUGCCACAGUGAAGAGAGACAGAAGCAUCACCAUAGAAGCUCCAGAAAGCAUAAGGAUCGAAGAGAGCAGUGUGGCAAUGAUUCCAGUCAGAGUCAUCAUCGAUAUACCAAAGACAAUAACAGAAACAGGAUCGAGCAUGAAUCCAAAAGGCAGAAUCAGAAAUAUCGCAGCCACGCAGGAUCUGGUAUCGAUCAAAGUGGUUCCAGUGAUAAGAAGUUGCAGAAAGAGAGCAGUCACAGUUCUAGACAUUCUAAGCUCAGUGGAAAGAGUAAUGUUGAUGAGCGGAGUCAUGACAGGUGGAAGAUGGUUAGUGGGUCAGAUGAAGAUUGUGGAGAAGGUUAUCAGUAUUCUAGACAGAAAAGAAAACACUAAUCGGGACUGGUUUGUGAGAUCUGAUUGACUCGGCUUUUGGACAGUAACUACUUGUAAAUAUCUGCUAACCCACCUCUUCACUUAUUCUAGCUUGGCCAUAGAGGGAGAGGCUAGCAUUCAAAAGUUUUAAGAAUAGCAGCAAUUGUUGAUGUAAUCAUAGGGCUUUAUGCUUUCCGUUCGUCCCAAAACUUACCUUCGCAGACAUGUUAAAGCCAGUGAAGCGUUGGUUUCUCGGCGUGGUAAAGACCAAUUUGUAGGUAAAGGGAUUGUACAUGCCAGAUUCCGAUGCUAAAGGUAAUGCGUUACCCGUAGUAAACUGGUUACUUUCCGAAUUUUACUAAUACGAAGUGUUUUUCUGUUUUCAGGUCAGAUAUCUUGCUUUUCUUCCCCAGGAAGAUGCAAUUGCAACCCAACAGUCCAACGCAGCAAUACUUACCAACUGUUGCAAAAUUAAGAAGCUGCAAAGAAAAAUAUUUGACAUGUAAUGCAAGUUUCCAACAAACUUAUUCGGUCGAUUAAGGGCUCGAUCGGUUAAGGGCGAUGGAUAAUACGAUGGACAAUAUCAACCAUCCCAAUAUGAAGUACCCCACCAACCUCGUCGGCCCUGGAUCCUCUGGUUCCUGCAAUAACAAGUGGUCGCAGAGAUUAUUUCGA
Molecule: RNA transcript, 3071 nt
Organism: Pyrus x bretschneideri (Chinese white pear)
Lineage: Eukaryota; Viridiplantae; Streptophyta; Magnoliopsida; Rosales; Rosaceae
Gene name: E3 ubiquitin ligase PARAQUAT TOLERANCE 3
Exons: 16
Source: RefSeq, a predicted model, not a curated record